RNAcentral lists this long non-coding RNA (381 nucleotides) under Fukomys damarensis (Damara mole-rat). RNAcentral's name for it is "lncRNA (ENSFDAG00000028026.1)". Lineage: Eukaryota; Metazoa; Chordata; Mammalia; Rodentia; Bathyergidae. The record is from RNAcentral.
CCUACAGGUCUGAGCACAAGGAUCUUGGAGUUUAAAACUCCUGGACUCAGCCAGGGAAGCCCAUUCCCUUUCCUUUCAGGACCCAGGUACAGAAGGAAUGUCUUGGGAGGGCCUGGACAGGUCAGUCCCUGGUCAGCUGUUGUGCAUCUGGGAAGUACCUGUAUCAGCAGCACCGGCACAGGGUGGAGGGUGAGCAAGGGUCCGGCCUUUUCUCCUGUCUUCCAGGAGAAUUCCACUGGGUCUGCAGGGCAGGAAUACUAAUGGGGAGAGGAGGUGACAGUGUAGAGGUCUCCAGUCUCCGACCUCAGGUUGUACUCACCCAGAAUGUCACGAUCACCCACGACCUGAUGAACAUCUGUCUGAAAAGGGCCACAGCACAGG